AGAAGAUGCAAAACACCAUGGUGUCCUUGACAAUUUCAGUGCGUUCAUUUACGAGAAUCACCUUAACAAGCUGAAGAAACUUCUACGAAAACCUUCAUGUCCGUUAAGUCAAGUCGUGAGAAGGUUCUCAGAACUGCACACCUGUAACAAAAAAAGAGACAAAAACAAGGCACCAGUGCUCAGAAAACCGCAUGCUGCUGGCCCUCUACCGGAGUCAUUUGUUGGAGCUUCACAGUUCAAAGAACUACAAACAGAGUCAUACACUCUGAAAUUAAACCAGGCAAACCGUUUUGUCUACAUUAAUGGAAAGGUUUCAAAGCUAGAAAACAUAUUUUCAGAAAAUGAUGACAUUUACGUGACCUACACUACCUUCAGCAAACAUGAACUCUUUUUUGACUAUCCCCUUCCAUCCUCCGCACUUGGCAUCUACCAAGUUGAUGUCAUCUCAGGACCAGUCCAGCUCUGCAAAAUUGAGAACAUUGAGGCAAAAGCUUUCCUAUUUUAAAAAAACAAAAAUGUACCUCUUGGUGGAGCUCCUUCAUGAAGAAAGUACCGGAUCUGUAGCAAAGUUUUAGUACUCAGAGGGUCACUCAUGGUAGCCUCUAUACAAAAAGAUAGACUGGAUAUUGAAGAGUGUCCGGUUGAUGGAGGCACCACAACCAGAAAAAGGUUGGACCAAGCAUCAGGCCAGAAUUCCACAUGAGUUGGGUAAGCAGGAUGAGACACAUUCAUCUUUUGACAAGAUUUCCCAAAAAUGAAUACAAUCUUG
Molecule: long non-coding RNA, 769 nt
Filed under: Danio rerio (zebrafish)
Lineage: Eukaryota; Metazoa; Chordata; Actinopteri; Cypriniformes; Danionidae
Description: si:ch211-136a14.3 (ENSDARG00000097321.2)
Source: RNAcentral